RNAcentral lists this ribosomal RNA (468 nucleotides) under uncultured bacterium. RNAcentral describes it as "partial 16S ribosomal RNA". It matches the Rfam family "Bacterial small subunit ribosomal RNA", at positions 28 to 507 of the family's 1533-position model. The record is from RNAcentral.
GACGAACGCUGGCGGCGUGCUUAACACAUGCAAGUCGAACGAAAAGGCCCUGCUUUUGCGGGUUGCUCGUUUGCCGCACGGGUGAGUAACACGUGUGUAUCCUCCCCUUGACUUUGUGAUAACUCCUGGAAACAGGGGCUCUUACCGCAUAGAAGCUCCUGCUGCGCGUGGGGGGUUGGAAAGUUUCGGCGGUGGGGGAUGGACUCGCGGCUUAUCCGCUUGUUGGGGGGGUAGGGGCUUACCAGGCCUUUGACGGGUAGCCGGCCUGAGAGGGUGACCGGCCACAUUGGGACUGAGAUACGGCCCAGACUCCUACGGGAGGCAGCAGUGGGGAAUAUUGCACAAUGGGCGGAAGCCUGAUGCAGCAACGCCGGGUGCGGGAUGACGGCCUUCGGGCUGUAAACCGCUUUCGCCUGUGACGAAGAGUGAGUGACGGUAAUGGGUAAAGAAGCACCGGCUAACUACGUG